This 508-nucleotide long non-coding RNA is filed under the name Mus spicilegus (steppe mouse). RNAcentral's name for it is "lncRNA (ENSMSIG00000006875.1)". Lineage: Eukaryota; Metazoa; Chordata; Mammalia; Rodentia; Muridae. The record is from RNAcentral.
UGGCUAGAUCUUUGGGAUUAUUUUUUUUUCCCCUUCUUUCCCUCUCUCUCUUUCUGGAGGGUGUGUGUUGUCCCCUCGAAGUGAAGGAAUUUUGCUCCAAAGCGAGCUGGGACCGAAGACUCUAGGCUAAGUUCUCUCUCUAUGUAGAUGGUGUCAGGGAGCGAAGCUACUGACCGAGCUGCUGGGACAUGUAGCCUUUCAAAGUCAUCCAGGACUUCAGGAUCUCUUCUCUAGAGAGGUGUCCCCGUAUCCACUAAAACUGCUGUUUAAAUAUGGAAAAGCUCAGCCCCAGAAAAAGGUUACACCUGCUCUUUAUUGCUGAAACCCACUGGAACUUGCUCUGCUUCUUGGGUUGGCCAGUGAGCACUCCCAGAAACGCAGCUGAGUUCUACAUCAGACAUCCACCCACUUGUACACCGGAAGUGAGUGACCACUAUCUUCUGAAAACAUUGUGAGAUCCUUUGAUUAAGCCACCUGCUACUCAUUACCCGGGAGAAGACUUGAGUGA